GAUGAACGCUGGCGGCGUGCUUAACACAUGCAAGUCGAACGAUGAAGCCCAGCUUGCUGGGUGGAUUAGUGGCGAACGGGUGAGUAACACGUGAGUAACCUGCCCUUAACUCUGGGAUAAGCCUGGGAAACUGGGUCUAAUACCGGAUAGGAGCGUCCACCGCAUGGUGGGUGUUGGAAAGAUUUAUCGGUUUUGGAUGGACUCGCGGCCUAUCAGCUUGUUGGUGAGGUAAUGGCUCACCAAGGCGACGACGGGUAGCCGGCCUGAGAGGGUGACCGGCGACACUGAGACUGAGACACGGCCCAGACUCCUACGGGAGGCAACAGUGGGGAAUAUUGCACAAUGGGCGCAAGCCUGAUGCAGCGACGCCGCGUGAGGGAUGACGGCCUUCGGGUUGUAAACCUCUUUCAGUAGGGAAGAAGCGAAAGUGACGGUACCUGCAGAAGAAGCACCGGCUAACUACGCG
This 466-nucleotide ribosomal RNA is filed under the name uncultured bacterium. Its description in RNAcentral is "partial 16S ribosomal RNA". It matches the Rfam family "Bacterial small subunit ribosomal RNA", at positions 28 to 507 of the family's 1533-position model. The record is from RNAcentral.